CACACUUUGUUAAAAAAGAAGCCCGUUAUUUUCUAGAAGGGCUUCUGAAAUGAACUGUUAGUUGGUCAUUGAUUAUUUAGAGAGACAAGAGAGUGAGCAAGGAAAAAAAUGAUGUGGGAAACAGCUGAUAAGAGCCAUGAUGAGUAAGGAUGAUCUUCUCCAAGAUGUAAACAAAAAUGAUUGCAUUAAAAGGGCUCACCGCUUUCCAGGGCACUGCUAAUGCACAUCCCUGUGCACUAAUCCACAGUCACCAGGCCUUUUGCCUUGGAAGCAGGAACAUUUAGUCCUCUGGCGGGGCUGCCCUUAGGGAAUAAACAAACACAAUGUGGCAUGGGAUUUAUCGCCCAUUAAAUGGACACUGCUGUGGGUUUUUUUUUUUUUUUUUCUUUCUUUCUUUUUGAGAGAGAGAGUGAGAGAGGGGCAGAGAGAGGGAGAGAGAAAAUCCCAAACAGACUCUGCACUGUCAGCGCAGGGCCCGAAGUGGGGCUGAUCCCAGGAACUCUGAAGUCAGGAGCUGGAUGCUUAAUGGACUGAGCCAUCCAAGUGACACUGGAGUUUUGAGGCAGGCCCUUCAAGGAAAGGAGGCCAACCUGAGGGGUUACACAGAUCUGGGCUGACGGCAAUUGCUCAAUUGCUCAUCUUAUAAAUUGUGCAACUUAGAGCAAACGACUUAGCAUUUCUGAUUCUUCGUUGCCCUACCUAGAGUUUUCCUUGCCAUAUUAAGCUGUCAUGAAGAGUGGAGCCUUCAGAAACGGACUGCCUAGGUUUAGAUCUCAUUUCUACUGUUUUCCUGCUGUGUGACUUUGGGCAAUUUACUUAAUCUCCCUGUGCCCCAGUUUUCUCAGCUGCGAAGUGAGGAACAGAAUAGAAACCACCUCACCAUCAUUGCAAGGAUUAAGUGCAAUAACAUCUGUAAAAUGCUUACGGCAACGUCUGGCACGUCUUGAGUGCUAGUAAAGUGCGUGCUAUUGUGGCCAGCAGCAAACUCAUCUCCUUUAGUGUUCUGUCAAUUAAUUUACAUUCCUUGACCUUUGACAUUGACUUAAGCCAAUAAAAAAAAAAGGAAAGCAAGAGAAAAGAAAAAAAAAAAGAAAUUAAAAAGUGUCAUUUGGAAUUUGGUAGAAGGAAUAUAAAUUAUUCUCAUCCCAAUAUAAAUUAUUUGCGUACUCUCUUACCAAAACCACUUCGGAUUAAGUAAACCACACUUCCUCCCCGUUGUGUGAAGCAUCAGGAUUCAGUACAAUGGUGCUCUGAGAAUGAAAAUAUCACUCUACUCACAUACACCGAAGGCUUAGUGACAGUACUAAAUGAAGGAAACAUCAGGCUGUAUCAUACAGGAUGCUAUGCGGUAUAAACUACCUAGGAGACAUUGCAUUUACGCAGUUUCAACCACUGUGUAACCAUUUUAUAACAUAAUGUCAUGAUUAUGUCCAAACUUCUCAACAUGUUCCAGCAAAGUAAAGGGGUUCUAAGAGAAGCAGGAUCAUUAUCCAGCAACGACCCAUCACGACCAAUCAAGCCGCAGCUAACUGAACCCGGAAAAACUGCUGACUUACAAGGUGCUGGGCCCCAUGAGUCUGCAAAGCACCCAGAAGACUGAAAACCACGCUUCAUGUGCCAGAAAAGACAUGUUGCAACUCAUCUGGGAUGAAGGAAAAACCAUUCUUUUUCUUUAAGAGUUCAUUAGAUUAAAACAACUAUGCAAAAACAAACAGAAGAAAUAUAUAAUGAUGUCAUAUUGAAUGUCACAGACUGAAACCACCCAGGUCAUGGAGAACUAAGGAUUUGAAAUAAUGUAUGGACCACGGAGAGGAAAAAGGAACAAGGCGAGCAAUGCAUGGGGAAAGAAGAUAGAACAUAGAGAGGAGUGAAUUAAUGUGUGUGCUUAAUUCACUUAGGGAAGAGCGCCGACUCACUGUGAGCCCAGGAUUGAGGAGACUUGCAUACAUUUCUACUAUACUGCCUGGAUUGUGAUACUAUGGAUAUAGCAUUGAUGACGGUCUUUGGUGCUAAAUGAUGCUUUGACCAAGUAGAUGUUCAGAUAAGUUCUGCCAGGACACACAAAUAGCACUUUCAUCGGCCGCUGCUCCAAGGGAACUGCUUCUGUUAUGUGUACUUAGCUAGUGUUUUCCAGAAAGACUGAAGCUGUUUAGCCUCAGAGCUUUAUAGAUUAUUCUUUUUUUGGAAAAUACUGAGAGUCGCCACUAUCUGCUUUGAAUGUUUCGUAUUUUAAUGCAUAAGAAAUAUGUGUGCAAUGGGUGAGUAGAUGAUACUUUUUUAAAAUUGCAAAUUGUAAAAUAUAACCGAACUCUUAAACACCAUACAAUCAGAAUCACGAAAGCAAGCUACUCAGAAAUGGAGUCUCAAUGCCGAGUACAGAUCUUUUGUCAGAACUAAGAAACUACAAAUCAAAAUGUGGCCGUCUUCAGCCUCUUGUAAGGUCUUUUGAUAUGACACCAUGAGGUCAAGACAUAGAACUCUGAGGGUGUGUGUGUUUUCAUGUUUAUAUACUUUGAGUUUGCUUUGUGCCCACUAAUUUAUUAAGUACCUUCCUCCUUUCAGUUAAUCCAGUACUAAGGAGGCACUACAUUUUUGUAUAAAAUGGGUUUUAAGCUUUGCCCAAAGGGGGAAAUACAUCAUUAUUUUUCAAGGAUUUUUCUUUUUGGAAAGCAUCACGGUGUGUGUUAACAUACAUAAGAGAUUUAAUCUCAGUAAAUGUGAAAGCUAGCUUUCUUAAAUGAUUUUCUUUCCCCAAGUUGACCUAACAGGUAUAGAAGAGAGUCUGCACGUAUUUCAAUUUACAUGCAGGAAAAUGACAAUGAGCUUACAAGAAAGCAUUAUUUAUAGUGUCAGUUCCUGCCUUGCUAAAAUUUGGUGAUUCAGUUAUUCAAACCAUGUAACAGAAUAGAUUUAGUGUAAAUACAAGUUUUAAAAAGAGAUUUUCUUUGCUGAUAAGACCAGAAGCUGAAACACAGACAGAAUUGAAGUCUGUGUAGUAAAUUCAGAGUUUCUCUGUUACUAACAAGAGAGACAAUUUUCUGAAAUGCUCGUUUACAGUGAUCAUUCAUCUGGAUUUCUUUAACAUUUAGAAUGGACCAGGGGAAGCUCAAACCUGAAUGGAGGAGAAGAAAUAUUUGGAUUUGAUCCUAGUUAGUACCUUAAAAUAUCUAAGUAAGCACCUAUAAGAUGGGCAGUAAUGUAACUUGGAUUUUGUUUUAGUA
Molecule: long non-coding RNA, 3221 nt
Organism: Leopardus geoffroyi (Geoffroy's cat)
Lineage: Eukaryota; Metazoa; Chordata; Mammalia; Carnivora; Felidae
Exons: 3
Source: RefSeq, a predicted model, not a curated record